Molecule: ribosomal RNA, 402 nt
Filed under: Candidatus Thalassarchaeaceae archaeon
Lineage: Archaea; Methanobacteriati; Thermoplasmatota; Candidatus Poseidoniia; Candidatus Poseidoniales; Candidatus Thalassarchaeaceae
Description: partial 23S ribosomal RNA
Rfam family: Archaeal large subunit ribosomal RNA
Source: RNAcentral
CUUGCUACUUCGAUGUCGUCUCUUCCCAACCUCCUGGUGCAGCAGCUGGGAAGGGUGGGGUUGUUCGCCCAUUAAAGGGGAUCGUGAGAUGGGUUUAGACCGUCGUGAGACAGGUUUGUUGCUUUGUGGUUGAGGCGUAUAAGAUGCCUGAUCGGAAGGGCCCUUUAGUACGAGAGGAACGAGGGCUCGGGGCCACUAGUUUACCAGUUGUCCGGCAGGGCAAUGCUGGGUAGCCACGCCCUAUGUGGAUAAGAGCUGAAAGCAUCUAAGCUCGAAGUCAUCCGAAAGACGAGGCAUCUCAGGGGACUCGUAGAAGACGAGUUUGAUAGACAGCGGGUGUAAGCACCGAGGUUCGCCGAGGUGUUCAGCCCAGCUGCACUAACCCCCCGAGCAUUCAUCUUU